UCCAGUCUUGCUCUCAGUAGCUAUUUUAGAAGCACUGCUUCAAGCAUGGCUAGUGAUCUUGGCUGGUGUGCUGGCAUCUUGGCCUGGUGAACUCGCAUACAAACCUUGCCCCCUGAUAACUGGACCUUUCUUUUUUGAGUGUUUAUUACUGGUCUCUGCUCCCUGCUGGAGUGGUCCAUGGAGUUACACUCCCCCCAGAAGGCAGCAGUGUCCUAGCAGAAGAGAUGAGGGGGCUCUGAAAGCAGUUUCUUGGAAAUCCCUCAGAACCAGCAGACAUGAAAAAUACAACUGAAAUCUUGAAGUCUUUGAUGAGGGAGCUGAAGACUUAUUUCACAGAUAAUCCCAGACACAAGUAUGGCUUUGGCUUUCUGCAAUAGUCAGCAUGAGCAGAAGUACACUCUCCAGCCUGAAUGGCACUGUUGAAACAAACAUGUAUCUGGAGUGAUACAGCAUCCACAGUGGAUUGAAGACUCUACCAGAUUUUUCACUGUAACAGUUCCAAGAACGCCUGGGGAGCUGCAGUUUGUCAACAGAGUGGCCGGAGUUCCAGGAAAGAUGAUUGUUCAUAAAACAAGUGCCCAAACAUUGGACUGAAGCCAAAGACUUUGCAAUCAGGAAAUGGACUUCCAGUUCUGUUAUAAUAAUUUUAAUUUAUAUAUUAAAU
Molecule: non-coding RNA, 664 nt
Organism: Phalacrocorax carbo (great cormorant)
Lineage: Eukaryota; Metazoa; Chordata; Aves; Suliformes; Phalacrocoracidae
Source: RefSeq, a predicted model, not a curated record